GAUGAACGCUGGCGGCGUGCCUAAUACAUGCAAGUCGAGCGAACGGACGAGAAGCUUGCUUCUCUGAUGUUAGCGGCGGACGGGUGAGUAACACGUGGAUAACCUACCUAUAAGACUGGGAUAACUUCGGGAAACCGGAGCUAAUACCGGAUGAUAUUUUGAACCGCAUGGUUCAAAAGUGAAAGACGGUCUUGCUGUCACUUAUAGAUGGAUCCGCGCUGCAUUAGCUAGUUGGUAAGGUAACGGCUUACCAAGGCAACGAUGCAUAGCCGACCUGAGAGGGUGAUCGGCCACACUGGAACUGAGACACGGUCCAGACUCCUACGGGAGGCAGCAGUAGGGAAUCUUCCGCAAUGGGCGAAAGCCUGACGGAGCAACGCCGCGUGAGUGAUGAAGGUCUUCGGAUCGUAAAACUCUGUUAUUAGGGAAGAACAUAUGUGUAAGUAACUGUGCACAUCUUGACGGUACCUAAUCAGAAAGCCACGGCUAACUACGUGCCAGCAGCCGCGGUAAUACGUAGGUGGCAAGCGUUAUCCGGAAUUAUUGGGCGUAAAGCACGCGUAGGCGGUUUUUUAAGUCUGAUGUGAAAGCCCACGGCUCAACCGUGGAGGGUCAUUGGAAACUGGAAAACUUGAGUGCAGAAGAGGAAAGUGGAAUUCCAUGUGUAGCGGUGAAAUGCGCAGAGAUAUGGAGGAACACCAGUGGCGAAGGCGACUUUCUGGUCUGUAACUGACGCUGAUGUGCGAAAGCGUGGGGAUCAAACAGGAUUAGAUACCCUGGUAGUCCACGCCGUAAACGAUGAGUGCUAAGUGUUAGGGGGUUUCCGCCCCUUAGUGCUGCAGCUAACGCAUUAAGCACUCCGCCUGGGGAGUACGACCGCAAGGUUGAAACUCAAAGGAAUUGACGGGGACCCGCACAAGCGGUGGAGCAUGUGGUUUAAUUCGAAGCAACGCGAAGAACCUUACCAAAUCUUGACAUCCUUUGACAACUCUAGAGAUAGAGCCUUCCCCUUCGGGGGACAAAGUGACAGGUGGUGCAUGGUUGUCGUCAGCUCGUGUCGUGAGAUGUUGGGUUAAGUCCCGCAACGAGCGCAACCCUUAAGCUUAGUUGCCAUCAUUAAGUUGGGCACUCUAAGUUGACUGCCGGUGACAAACCGGAGGAAGGUGGGGAUGACGUCAAAUCAUCAUGCCCCUUAUGAUUUGGGCUACACACGUGCUACAAUGGACAAUACAAAGGGCAGCGAAACCGCGAGGUCAAGCAAAUCCCAUAAAGUUGUUCUCAGUUCGGAUUGUAGUCUGCAACUCGACUACAUGAAGCUGGAAUCGCUAGUAAUCGUAGAUCAGCAUGCUACGGUGAAUACGUUCCCGGGUCU
RNAcentral lists this ribosomal RNA (1372 nucleotides) under uncultured bacterium. RNAcentral's name for it is "bacterial SSU rRNA". It matches the Rfam family "Bacterial small subunit ribosomal RNA", at positions 28 to 1381 of the family's 1533-position model. The record is from RNAcentral.